This 21-nucleotide unclassified non-coding RNA is filed under the name Mus musculus (house mouse). RNAcentral describes it as "oocyte_clustered_small_RNA10025". Lineage: Eukaryota; Metazoa; Chordata; Mammalia; Rodentia; Muridae. The record is from RNAcentral.
ACGCUCCUUCAGACCUCAGUG